This 1185-nucleotide long non-coding RNA is filed under the name Capsella grandiflora. Its description in RNAcentral is "long non-coding RNA (CGRA_LNC001545)". The record is from RNAcentral. Lineage: Eukaryota; Viridiplantae; Streptophyta; Magnoliopsida; Brassicales; Brassicaceae.
CCAUUACUGCUGUCACAGUGUUACUUAUCCACUCCUCCUUCUGUGUGCAGUUCUUCAGCCCCCAUGCUUCUACCGCCAGCCUAUGUACAUGACCAUAUUAACAAUCAAACUCUAGUUAUAAUGUUAUCAAGACUUUGUACUAUCAAGACUCUAAGAGAAUUAAACUAUUUAAGACUACGAAUUCGAUUACUCGCAUAGGAAGAUGAAAUGUUUUAUGGAUCAAAAUCGCGUUACAUAGCUAAAUUUUACCUAGUGGCCUUUCCGAGACGAGCAUGACGAGCGAUUAUAUUCUCAAGUCCUUCCUCGAAGAUAAGAUCAAGAGCGGCUCUGAGACCGUAGAGGAGUUGAAUGGAAGGUGUGUAAGGCCAAUAGGUUCCAAGCUUGUAAAACUUGAGGUAGUCAUUCCAAUCAAAGAAUACUUUGAGGGAUUUAGAGGUUUUUGUAGCUUCCAAGGCUUUAGGACUGGCACACACAAUACCAAGUCCUGUUGGUAGAGAUAAGGCUUUCUGGGAGCCGGUCAAGGCAACAUCCACUCCCCACUCAUCCAUUCGGAAAUCAAGCGCACAAAUGGACGAGACACCGUCCACAAGCAGCAAGGCCGGGUGCUUGUAGUGAUCUGUUUUAUACACUUGUGUUAGUGAGAUUUAAAACAGAGGAAACACACAAAAAUACAAGGAGAUGAUUAGUGAGGAGUUAAUAACCAAGGAGGGUUCGGACAGCAGAGAUGUCAUUGGUGACUCCAGUAGCUGUCUCAUUGUGGACAAUGCAAAUGGCUUUGAUGGAAUGACUCGCAUCUUCAGAGAGCUUCGAGGCCAACACUUGGAGAUUAGCACCUUGUCCCCAAUCACUCUCAACCACAUCAACAUUGAAAUUUAGCCUCUUCUGCUGGUCAAUCCAGAGCAAGCUAAACUGUCCAAUCAGAAACGAGACGAUCCUGUCUCCAGGAGAUAGCGUGUUGGUCAAGGCACUCUCCCAAGCACCAGUCCCUGUGGUUGGAAACAGAAACGGUGUCCCAGAUGUUGUCUUGAAUAUCUUCUUCACAUCUUCCAACAAAGUUUUCGUCAGUGCCGGAAUAGCCGGUGACCGGUAAUCCUCGUUGUUCCGGUUCAUCGCCCGGAUCACCGGUUCCGGUAUGUUCACUGGCCCCGGCACAAACAGAUGGUGCCUCCCUGGUCCAUACAUGUA